Molecule: ribosomal RNA, 285 nt
Filed under: uncultured Streptococcus sp.
Lineage: Bacteria; Bacillati; Bacillota; Bacilli; Lactobacillales; Streptococcaceae
Description: partial 16S ribosomal RNA
Rfam family: Bacterial small subunit ribosomal RNA
Source: RNAcentral
CGCACCCCUAUUGUUAGUUGCCAUCAUUCAGUUUGGGCACUCUAGCGAGACUGCCGGUAAUAAACCGGAGGAAGGUGGGGAUGACGUCAAAUCAUCAUGCCCCUUAUGACCUGGGCUACACACGUGCUACAAUGGUUGGUACAACGAGUUGCGAGUCGGUGACGGCGAGCUAAUCUCUUAAAAGCCAAUCUCAGUUCGGAUUGUAGGCUGCAACUCGCCUACAUGAAGUCGGAAUCGCUAGUAAUCGCGGAUCAGCACGCCGCGGUGAACACGUUCCCGGGCCUU